CAGUCGCCGCGGGAAUACGUAGGGUGCAAGCGUUAAUCGGAAUUACUGGGCGUAAAGCGUGCGCAGGCGGUUAUAUAAGACAGAUGUGAAAUCCCCGGGCUCAACCUGGGAACUGCAUUUGUGACUGUAUAGCUAGAGUACGGCAGAGGGGGAUGGAAUUCCGCGUGUAGCAGUGAAAUGCGUAGAUAUGCGGAGGAACACCGAUGGCGAAGGCAAUCCCCUGGGCCUGUACUGACGCUCAUGCACGAAAGCGUGGGGAGCAAACAGGAUUAGAUACCCCUGUAGUCCCUGUCUCUUAUAA
This 301-nucleotide ribosomal RNA is filed under the name uncultured bacterium. RNAcentral describes it as "partial 16S ribosomal RNA". It matches the Rfam family "Bacterial small subunit ribosomal RNA", at positions 509 to 809 of the family's 1533-position model. The record is from RNAcentral.